UACGACGACAUCACGUUGAAACACCUGUUCCCGUACGAUCCCAAAAGGUAAGCAACGUCGAGCCUUUUCAGUACUUAGAUGGGUGACCGCUUGAGAAUAUCAAGUGCUGUAAG
Molecule: non-coding RNA, 113 nt
Organism: Acanthosepion pharaonis
Lineage: Eukaryota; Metazoa; Mollusca; Cephalopoda; Sepiida; Sepiidae
Source: the annotation of a GenBank genome assembly